GACGAACGCUGGCGGCGUGCCUAAUACAUGCAAGUAGAACGCUGAAGAGAGGAGCUUGCUCUUCUUGGAUGAGUUGCGAACGGGUGAGUAACGCGUAGGUAACCUGCCUUGUAGCGGGGGAUAACUAUUGGAAACGAUAGCUAAUACCGCAUAACAAUGGAUGACACAUGUCAUUUAUUUGAAAGGGGCAAUUGCUCCACUACAAGAUGGACCUGCGUUGUAUUAGCUAGUAGGUGAGGUAAUGGCUCACCUAGGCGACGAUACAUAGCCGACCUGAGAGGGUGAUCGGCCACACUGGGACUGAGACACGGCCCAGACUCCUACGGGAGGCAGCAGUAGGGAAUCUUCGGCAAUGGGGGCAACCCUGACCGAGCAACGCCGCGUGAGUGAAGAAGGUUUUCGGAUCGUAAAGCUCUGUUGUAAGUCAAGAACGGGUGUGAGAGUGGAAAGUUCACACUGUGACGGUAGCUUACCAGAAAGGGACGGCUAACUACGUA
Molecule: ribosomal RNA, 497 nt
Filed under: uncultured bacterium
Lineage: Bacteria
Description: partial 16S ribosomal RNA
Rfam family: Bacterial small subunit ribosomal RNA
Source: RNAcentral